CCACCUUCACAUAGAAGAUAGGAUUUCUUCAGAAAUGUGUAACAGUCCUGUUAGAUUACCAAGUGCUAAUAGUUAAUAUGUAAUCUAUUCUUUUUAUGAAGGCAAAUCGAAGGGAGAGUGGUUGAGAUUUCCAGACUCCAAGAGAUAUUCACGGAAAAGGUUUUGCAACAGGAAGCUGAGAUUGAUAGCAUUCACCAGUUAGUUGUGGGGGCAACUGAAAAUAUCAAGGAAGGCAACGAAGACAUAAGAGAGGUAGGCACUGUUUUGGUUCCCCAGGUGCAACGUGGCACAGCACUGAGUCCCAGCAGCGGGUGUUAGUCUCGCCGGCACAGCUGCCCAGGAGCCUUGCUGGGCAGAGCUCACAGGGCUGAUCACAAAAUUGUGUGACCGUGAGGCCAUGGUCCGUUCCAGCGGAGCUGCGUGUGUUCAUGAGACCCACCACCCGUCGCCCACCUCCGGCUGCUUUCUAGAGGCAGUGGCUCACCAGUCUCCAAAGGAGCAAUCCAGGGUGGGUGGGGGUACUCCUGGCAGGGUCAGGCCAGCUCCCCAUGUCCAGGGAUGCACAUGGGUAGACGAGCUUAUUGGCCCCCACCGAGGGGUCAGAGCCUGGCACUUGCUUACAGAGGACACUACAGCCAUCCUGUUGGGGGGACUAUUUCCCGAGCUCAGUCCUCAGGGUUGGGUCACCACAGACAUCGUUACUGGGAAACACAAAGCUUGCGGUCACACUCUGCUCGGGGCCUUUAACCCUGGGACAGAAGGGAGUGAUUCCGAGGGUUGUGUUGAGGGAGAAUUGUGCAGGACCCAAAUGAUGGCCAAACAGAGGGAAAUAUAACCCAUUUGUCUUCUGGUGGAUCUCAAACCCAACUUUUGGUUUUGCUUAGUAAUUAAACCAUCUAUUCAAGGUAAGCACAGAUGGAACGACACCCAUAGUUACAGCCAGGAUC
RNAcentral lists this small RNA (947 nucleotides) under Pongo abelii (Sumatran orangutan). RNAcentral's name for it is "retained intron". Lineage: Eukaryota; Metazoa; Chordata; Mammalia; Primates; Hominidae. The record is from RNAcentral.